GUAGGUGGCAAGCGUUGUCCGGAAUUAUUGGGCGUAAAGCGCGCGCAGGCGGGUCCUUUAAGUCUGAUGUGAAAGCCCACGGGCUCAACCGUGGAGGGUCAUUGGAAACUGGGGGACUUGAGUACAGAAGAGGAAAGCGGAAUUCCAAGUGUAGCGGUGAAAUGCGUAGAGAUUUGGAGGAACACCAGUGGCGAAGGCGGCUUUCUGGUCUGUAACUGACGCUGAGGCGCGAAAGCGUGGGGAGCAAACAGGAUUAGAUACCCUGGUAGUCCACGCCGUAAACGAUGAGUGCCAAGUGUUAGGGGGUUUCCGCCCCUUAGUGCUGCAGCUAACGCAUUAAGCACUCCGCCUGGGGAGUACGGCCGCAAAGGCUG
This 374-nucleotide ribosomal RNA is filed under the name uncultured organism. RNAcentral describes it as "partial 16S ribosomal RNA". It matches the Rfam family "Bacterial small subunit ribosomal RNA", at positions 527 to 896 of the family's 1533-position model. The record is from RNAcentral.